AUCCAUAUAGUUUAAAAAACAUUUUAUUUUCAUUAAAAAAAAGGAAUUUAAUUCCUAUGGUUU
RNAcentral lists this transfer RNA (63 nucleotides) under Homalodisca vitripennis (glassy-winged sharpshooter). Its description in RNAcentral is "tRNA-Glu". Lineage: Eukaryota; Metazoa; Arthropoda; Insecta; Hemiptera; Cicadellidae. The record is from RNAcentral.